UGGCAGACACAGGGUGGAUCUGGUUUGAUUGGAGACAGGCUAUUUAGAGUUUUUCUUCUUUCUUCAAAGGUCUGGUUGUAUGAAACUGCCAGCGGUCAUCCUGUGGGAUCAGAGAGGGUUUUGUUGCCAAGUGGUACAGAGGGACAGGAGAGGAGGAACACAAACAAAGAGUACCAGCAGGAGAAAAUACCAACAUUUUAAAAUCACUCUUCACUAGUCGGUGGUUGUGUGAGGUUUUUCUGAGCUAAGUGUAUCUAGCUGCCAAAUCCUGAAUACAACCCUAGAAGGUAAGGAUCUACGUACACUAGUAUAAAGGACUGUUGCUGUGUUUCAGAGUUUUAGCAUUGUGAAAGGGUUGUAACAUUGCUGCAGUGGUCUCUGUUCUCUUAUCUUGCCAAUUUCUCCUCUUUACUCUCAUGCACUCAGUACACAGUAUAUUUCUCUCUGUGUGUCUCUCGAAACACUUCUCUCACUUUCUUCAACUCUGUGACCAUGGUUGGCGCAUCAUGUUUUACUUUUUAGGGUUUAACAUAUUGAGGGAUAAUUUGUUCACAUUUGCUGUGAUGGUUAGGAAGUGUACAUUUAACCUUAUGUCAUUUGUUAUCGUAUCAUUCUCUACUCAUAAUUUCAGAUGUUUUAUUUUCUCACCUUUCUUUCUGUCUCUCUUUCUCUCUGCUCAGAAACCAAUGUGUUGUUAGUAUAUGACCUAUUAUAAGCUUUUGGAUUGCUCUUCUUACAUUUUUAUGGUUUAGGUAUAUCACAAAAUUUUUUUCUUUGCUCUCUAGAGGGUGGUCUAGUUUGUUUUUCUUAAAUUGUUGAGAGGGGGUUGUAGCCAGGGCCAUAACCAGGGUUUCAAAAUUAGUGAGGUUCCAGAUUUUUUGAUUCUUUAAAAAAGCUUAUUUACAAUAAUUCAGUGAAGGCUUGAACCAGGCAGUGGGCACAGCACUGUGUUUGGAUGAAGGACACACUAACUACAAUCUGUUCAUCAUGGUCUUUCUCAAUUUUGGGAAACAUGGUAGCAACAAUUUCAGUACAGUGGAAAGGGCCCUAGCAAUGUUAACUAUCAUGCACUACAUAGAAACCCAGAACUCUUCUCAACCCUCUGCUUUGUGAGAGCGAAAUCAGUAAGAAAUGAAACAGUAGCUUAAAUGUAUCUUAAAUUUAGCCUACAAUAGUCAUCACAGGCAGUGUUAGGGAGUAACUAGUUACAUGUAAUUAAUGUAAUUUAAUUACAAAAUAAAUGUAACUUUAAUCUAUUACAGUUACCAAGAAAAAAAUGUGUAUGAUGUGUAAUAUCAUGAUUACAUUGGGGGCUUCCAUCUGAAUAUUUUCUGUAUAAAGCUAGGCUAACGUUAUAUGUUGAAUAAUAAUCAUUUUGUUGCUUUGCAUGUUUUUCAUGUGCACAGCUGCCAUUACCAGCCACAGCUGUUUAGUAAAGUUUGAUUCUUUUCUAAUGCUUUUAAUUGGUUCUCGUGUUAAAAUUUGCUGCACCACCCGCCUGCCAGUUAAACUGCCUCUCAAGCAGUCUUUUGAAAAAGAUUAACAGGGAAAAAAUUAAUUAGAAAUGUAGAAAAAUAAUCAAAAAGUUAUUAAAUGUAAUAAGUUACGUUAUUUAGAAAAAGUAAGAAAUAGUACUAUUACAUUUUCAAUUGGGUCACUUGUAAUUGGUAACCUAUUACAUUUAGAAAGUAACCUUCCCAACACUGAUCUCAGGACUGUACAGAUGGAAUGACAUGUGUAGACUAUAGUGGGCACUAAUAUUACUAUGACAAAAUAAAAAACAGCAGAUCAGUGCUGAAUGCUCUA
Long non-coding RNA from Micropterus dolomieu (smallmouth bass), 1806 nucleotides. RefSeq lists it as uncharacterized. The transcript is spliced from 2 exons. NCBI's taxonomy places the organism in Eukaryota, Metazoa, Chordata, Actinopteri, Centrarchiformes, Centrarchidae. The record is from RefSeq and is a predicted model, not a curated record.